Molecule: non-coding RNA, 431 nt
Organism: Neolamprologus brichardi
Lineage: Eukaryota; Metazoa; Chordata; Actinopteri; Cichliformes; Cichlidae
Source: RefSeq, a predicted model, not a curated record
ACAGCUGCAGAGUCACCGUCUCUGAAUCAAAGUCUGAGAAAAAAGAAACAAACCGGCAACCUGGAAAAUCCCAACCACCAGAUCUGAAUAAAGAAACCAGAGUCACGGGGUCUGGAAUCAUUUUGGCUUCCUAUAUCUGUGGCUGGCUGAUCCUGGGUGGAUGUUUGUUUCGUCUGAAUUAUCUAAAACUAAGGAAAAUAUUCUCACAAAUAACCAGUGAGUUUGGACCUGAGGUCUCGGAUCAGCUCCUGUGUGGCCCUGUAGCUCCAACCAGCUCUCAUUCUGAUCUGUCCCACACUGCUGCUUACUGAACAAGGCAACAAGAUGUUCAGUAAGUUGGUGCCAAGAAUCAACAGAGGGAACAAACAAAAAUAACAGAGAAAAUGUUUAGCAAAAGCAAACAACCAACAUUUUGUUGAUGGUUUGCAGUG